CACCAAGAAGCUAUUCCAGCACUAACCUUUUAAGUUAGAGACUGAGAGUACCGCACUCUCCUUGGUGG
RNAcentral lists this transfer RNA (68 nucleotides) under Pseudoryx nghetinhensis (saola). Its description in RNAcentral is "tRNA-Lys". Lineage: Eukaryota; Metazoa; Chordata; Mammalia; Artiodactyla; Bovidae. The record is from RNAcentral.